AUACGGAGGGUGCGAGCGUUAAUCGGAAUCACUGGGCGUAAAGGGCGCGCAGGCGGUUUGAUUAGUCAGAUGUGAAAGCCCACGGCUUAACCGUGGAAGUGCAUUUGAAACUGUCAGACUUGAGUACCAGAGGGGGUAGUGGAAUUCCCGGUGUAGAGGUGAAAUUCGUAGAUAUCGGGAGGUAUACCGGUGGCGAAGGCGACUACCUGGCUGGAUACUGACGCUGAGGCGCGAAAGCGUGGGGAGCAAACAGGAUUAGAAACCCCAGUAGUCC
Molecule: ribosomal RNA, 274 nt
Filed under: uncultured bacterium
Lineage: Bacteria
Description: partial 16S ribosomal RNA
Rfam family: Bacterial small subunit ribosomal RNA
Source: RNAcentral